GAUGAACGCUGACAGAAUGCUUAACACAUGCAAGUCGAUUCGAUUUACCUUCGGGUAUUGAGGAUGGCGGACGGGUGAGUAACGCGUAAGGAACUUGCCUCUUGGUCUGGGACAACUGUUGGAAACGACAGCUAAUACCGGAUAUUAUGAGAUUCUCGCAUGGGAAACUUAUGAAAGCUAUAUGCGCCAAGAGAGAGCCUUGCGUUCCAUUAGCUAGUUGGUGGGGUAACGGCCCACCAAGGCGACGAUGGAUAGCCGGCCUGAGAGGGUGAACGGCCACAAGGGGACUGAGACACGGCCCUUACUCCUACGGGAGGCAGCAGUGGGGAAUAUUGGACAAUGGGCCACAAGCCUGAUCCAGCAAUUCUGUGUGCACGAUGAAGGUCUUCGGAUUGUAAAGUGCUUUCAGUUGGGAAGAAGAAAGUGACGGUACCAACAGAAGAAGCGACGGCUAAAUACGUGCCAGCAGCCGCGGUAAUACGUAUGUCGCAAGCGUUAUCCGGAUUUAUUGGGCGUAAAGCGCGUCUAGGCGGAAAAAUAAGUCUGAUGUUAAAAUGCGGGGCUCAACUCCGUAUUGCGUUGGAAACUGUUUUUCUAGAGUACUGGAGAGGUGGGCGGAACUACAAGUGUAGAGGUGAAAUUCGUAGAUAUUUGUAGGAAUNNCGAUGGAGAAGUCAGCUCACUGGANANAUACUGANGCUAANGCGCGAAAGCNUGGGGAGNAAACANGAUUAGAUACCCUGNUAGUCCACGCCGUAAACGAUGAUCACUAGGUGUUGGGGGUCGAACCUCAGCNCCCAAGCUAACGC
Molecule: ribosomal RNA, 809 nt
Filed under: uncultured prokaryote
Description: bacterial SSU rRNA
Rfam family: Bacterial small subunit ribosomal RNA
Source: RNAcentral